GAUGAACGCUGGCGGCGUGCCUAAUACAUGCAAGUCGAGCGAACAGACGAGGAGCUUGCUCCUCUGACGUUAGCGGCGGACGGGUGAGUAACACGUGGAUAACCUACCUAUAAGACUGGGAUAACUUCGGGAAACCGGAGCUAAUACCGGAUAAUAUAUUGAACCGCAUGGUUCAAUAGUGAAAGACGGUUUUGCUGUCACUUAUAGAUGGAUCCGCGCCGCAUUAGCUAGUUGGUAAGGUAACGGCUUACCAAGGCGACGAUGCGUAGCCGACCUGAGAGGGUGAUCGGCCACACUGAACUGAGACACGGUCCAGACUCCUACGGGAGGCAGCAGUAGGGAAUCUUCCGCAAUGGGCGAAAGCCUGACGGAGCAACGCCGCGUGAGUGAUGAAGGUCUUCGGAUCGUAAAACUCUGUUAUUAGGGAAGAACAAAUGUGUAAGUAACUAUGCACGUCUUGACGGUACCUAAUCAGAAAGCCACGGCUAACUACGUG
Molecule: ribosomal RNA, 496 nt
Filed under: uncultured bacterium
Lineage: Bacteria
Description: partial 16S ribosomal RNA
Rfam family: Bacterial small subunit ribosomal RNA
Source: RNAcentral